Molecule: ribosomal RNA, 331 nt
Filed under: Schleiferiaceae bacterium
Lineage: Bacteria; Pseudomonadati; Bacteroidota; Flavobacteriia; Flavobacteriales; Schleiferiaceae
Description: partial 23S ribosomal RNA
Rfam family: Bacterial large subunit ribosomal RNA
Source: RNAcentral
CGCCCAUUAAAGUGGCACGCGAGCUGGGUUCAGAACGUCGCGAGACAGUUCGGUCUCUAUCUAUUGCGGGCGUUAGAAAUUUGAGAGGGGCUGACUUUAGUACGAGAGGACCGAGUCGGACAAACCUCUAGUGUACCUGUUGUGGCGCCAGCUGCAUCGCAGGGUAGCUACGUUUGGAAGAGAUAAGCGCUGAAAGCAUAUAAGCGCGAAACUCGCCUCAAGAUGAGAUUUCUUUUAAGGGUCGUUCGAGAUGAGGACGUCGAUAGGCUACAAGUGUAAAGGCAGUAAUGUCAUAGCUGAGUAGUACUAAUUACCCGUUAGCUUUUAAAUA